CAGCCAUACAUUUAAAGAGUGCGUAAUAGCUCACUAGUCGAGAAAACCUGCGCCGAAAAUGUAACGGGGCUAAAACACGACACCGAAGCUACGGAUUUCCUACAAGGUAGGAAGUGGUAGAGGAGCAUCCUGCAAGGACGAAGCCAAAGUGAGAGCGAUGGUGGACGAAACAGGAGAGAGAAUGCCGGAAUGAGUAGCGAGAUACAUGUGAGAAACAUGUAGGCCGAAUAUCUAAGGAUUCCUGGGUAAAGCUAAUCUUCCCAGGGUUAGUCGGGGCCUAAGGCGAGGACGAAAGUCGUAGUCGAUGGAUAACAGGUUGAUAUUCCUGUACUACACAUAAUCAGAACUGUGGGGACGCAGGAGGAUAGGGAAACCGGGGAAUGGAAAGACCCGGUCAAGCGUAAAGCUGUGGGAGAUAGGCAAAUCCGUCUCCUGUAAGUGAAACGUGAUGAGGACUGAAAAAAAGUAAGGAAGUUUCCGAAUCCACACUGCCGAGAAAAGCCGCUAUUGCGUUAUGUGUACCCGUACCGUAAACCGACACAGGUAGAUGAGGAGAAAAUCCACAGGCCGACGGGAGAAGUGUUGUUAAGGAACUCGGCAAAAUGACCCCGUAACUUCGGGAUAAGGGGAGCCUCGCAAGAGGCCGCAGAAAAGAGGCACAAGCAACUGUUUAGCAAAAACAUAGGUCUAUGCGAAACCGUAAGGUGAAGUAUAUGGGCUGACGCCUGCCCGGUGCUGGAAGGUUAAAAGGAGAGGUCAGGGCAAUCCGAAGCUUUGAAUUCAAGCCCCAGUAAACGGCGGCCGUAACUAUAACGGUCCUAAGGUAGCGAAAUUCCUUGUCAGGUAAGUUCUGACCCGCACGAAAGGCGUAAUGAUUUGUGCACUGUCUCGACAACACGCCCGGUGAAAUUGAAGAACCAGUGAAGAUACUGGUUACCCGCAACAGGACGGAAAGACCCCAUGGAGCUUUACUGCAGCCUGAUACUGGGAUUCGAUGAUAUAUGUACAGGAUAGGUGGGAGGCUAAGAAGCGAGAACGCUAGUUUUCGUGGAGCCGCCGGUGGGAUACCACUCUUAUGUCAUUGAAUUUCUAACCUGCAUCCGUAAUCCGGGUGAGGGACAAUGUCAGGCGGGCAGUUUGACUGGGGCGGUCGCCUCCUAAAAGGUAACGGAGGCGCUCGAAGGUCACCUCAGAAUGAUUGGAAACCAUUCAAAGAGUGUAAAGGCAAAAGGUGGCUUGACUGCGAGAGCGACGGCUCGAGCAGGUACGAAAGUAGGACUUAGUGAUCCGGUGGUAAUACG
This 1301-nucleotide ribosomal RNA is filed under the name human gut metagenome. Its description in RNAcentral is "bacterial LSU rRNA". It matches the Rfam family "Bacterial large subunit ribosomal RNA", at positions 1113 to 2433 of the family's 2925-position model. The record is from RNAcentral.